This 347-nucleotide long non-coding RNA is filed under the name Vitis vinifera (wine grape). RNAcentral's name for it is "long non-coding RNA (VVIN_LNC007697)". Lineage: Eukaryota; Viridiplantae; Streptophyta; Magnoliopsida; Vitales; Vitaceae. The record is from RNAcentral.
UGAGGAAAGAAACUGAUUCAUGCAUCAUUUUACAUAAGGGACUGCAACUUGGAGCCAUGAGAGAUCAUUUUUUUUUGUUUGUAAUUAUAUAUCUUUCUUGAUGCAUCCACCUUCAAACUUUCAAAUAAUUCUCUUUUUGUGAGUUUCAAUUGGAAUUUUGCCUUUGUGGAAUUUGCUACUACAUUCCUAGUGAAACCUAAGUUGGUAUCCCUGCGUUUUCUAAUUUUAAAAAGGAUGCCUUUAUUGACUAAUGUAAGGCUCUCCAAAAUCUGAUUUUGAUUUUAUUUAUUUCAUCAUGAAUCAUAUGAUUAGUUUUUCUUAUGAAAUUUCUCUUAAGAAUAAGGAAA